GGCUUGCUGGUCUAGUGGUAUGAUUCUCGCUUUGGGUGCGAGAGGUCGCGUGUUCGAUUCACGUGCAAGCCC
Molecule: transfer RNA, 72 nt
Filed under: Dendronephthya gigantea
Lineage: Eukaryota; Metazoa; Cnidaria; Anthozoa; Malacalcyonacea; Nephtheidae
Description: tRNA-Pro
Rfam family: tRNA
About the family: Transfer RNA (tRNA) molecules are approximately 80 nucleotides in length. Their secondary structure includes four short double-helical elements and three loops (D, anti-codon, and T loops).
Source: RNAcentral